RNAcentral lists this long non-coding RNA (537 nucleotides) under Capsella grandiflora. Its description in RNAcentral is "long non-coding RNA (CGRA_LNC001260)". The record is from RNAcentral. Lineage: Eukaryota; Viridiplantae; Streptophyta; Magnoliopsida; Brassicales; Brassicaceae.
ACGGGGAUUGAGAAGGAUCCUGUAGAAGAUUACGCGCAACGUGUAUGGUUCGAAGCCCCUGAUGAGAAGUAUGAGUGUGAGUUUGACAUGCCUGAAGACUUUGGAACCAUUGGUGCCAUCAGAGUUCAAAACCAGUACCAUAGACAGUUGUUCCUCAAGAAGAUGGAGAUUGAGUUACCUGACGGGACUGUUACGUUUACAUGUGAAUCAUGGGUGGCCUCUAAGACUGUUGACCCAGCCAAGAGGGUAUUCUUCUCCACCAAGUCCUACUUGCCAUCCGAAACCCCGGAGCCUCUUAUACAGCUUCGAAAGAAAGAGCUAGAGACUUUAAAAGGCAACGACCGCGAAGAAGAUGGUGAAUUCACCAAGUUCGAACGCGUCUACGACUACGACGUGUACAACGAUGUUGGUGACCCUGACAAUAACCCUGAGCUUGCUCGUCCCGUCAUUGGAGGCCCGGCACAUCCUUAUCCAAGGCGUUGCAAGACUGGUCGCAAACCAUGUAAAACUGACCCGGCCACAGAGCAACGAUACGGG